UUAACAGCAAAGGCGAAACAUUCUCCAAGUUUCUCUUUCCGUGGCCUAUCGUGAAAAUGCUAAGAUACGGAGACAAAAUUUAACUAGAGCUGGGAAGGCAAGAUAACCCCACAGCUGAAAGACUAGAUGUCUCUCUGGGGGACCAGCUCUGCUCCACGGCCCGCUGGAAGGAGGAGAGGUCUCGAGGGGACAAGGGACAGGACUUCAGCCCCACAGGAGCGCUCUGCUCACCCGCUCAGCAGGAAGAAGAUGGGUGAUUGCUCAUUGCCACAGGAUGCAAACAAAAACUAGCUUCUUACUUCAUCCAUCCUAGACUCCCUUCCCAGCUCACUCCUUCGCCCUGGGCUGGCAAGGCAGCCACCUAGACCUGGGCGCUGUGGGUGUUUGAUCCCCUUUGAGCCUCGAUAAUUAUUUGAAAGGUUCGUGUCAAAUCCCAGUCUCAGGUGAUGAAAUCACUCAUUCCCAUUUGUAAAAUAAAACUAUUCCUGGUAGCUUUUUACAGCCUCGAUUAAAAGAUAGAAGUCAGCUA
Molecule: long non-coding RNA, 529 nt
Organism: Grammomys surdaster
Lineage: Eukaryota; Metazoa; Chordata; Mammalia; Rodentia; Muridae
Exons: 2
Source: RefSeq, a predicted model, not a curated record